This 700-nucleotide ribosomal RNA is filed under the name Streptomyces sp. Its description in RNAcentral is "bacterial SSU rRNA". It matches the Rfam family "Bacterial small subunit ribosomal RNA", at positions 62 to 779 of the family's 1533-position model. Lineage: Bacteria; Bacillati; Actinomycetota; Actinomycetes; Kitasatosporales; Streptomycetaceae. The record is from RNAcentral.
UCGAACGAUGAAGCCCUUCGGGGUGGAUUAGUGGCGAACGGGUGAGUAACACGUGGGCAAUCUGCCCUUCACUCUGGGACAAGCCCUGGAAACGGGGUCUAAUACCGGAUAACACUUCUUCGGGCAUCUGAAGAGGUUAAAAGCUCCGGCGGUGAAGGAUGAGCCCGCGGCCUAUCAGCUUGUUGGUGGGGUAAUGGCCUACCAAGGCGACGACGGGUAGCCGGCCUGAGAGGGCGACCGGCCACACUGGGACUGAGACACGGCCCAGACUCCUACGGGAGGCAGCAGUGGGGAAUAUUGCACAAUGGGCGAAAGCCUGAUGCAGCGACGCCGCGUGAGGGAUGACGGCCUUCGGGUUGUAAACCUCUUUCAGCAGGGAAGAAGCGAAAGUGACGGUACCUGCAGAAGAAGCGCCGGCUAACUACGUGCCAGCAGCCGCGGUAAUACGUAGGGCGCAAGCGUUGUCCGGAAUUAUUGGGCGUAAAGAGCUCGUAGGCGGCUUGUCGCGUCGGAUGUGAAAGCCCGGGGCUUAACCCCGGGUCUGCAUUCGAUACGGGCAGGCUAGAGUGUGGUAGGGGAGAUCGGAAUUCCUGGUGUAGCGGUGAAAUGCGCAGAUAUCAGGAGGAACACCGGUGGCGAAGGCGGAUCUCUGGGCCAUUACUGACGCUGAGGAGCGAAAGCGUGGGGAGCGAACAGGAUU